Non-coding RNA from Schizosaccharomyces pombe (fission yeast), 917 nucleotides. The record is from the annotation of a GenBank genome assembly. Lineage: Eukaryota; Fungi; Ascomycota; Schizosaccharomycetes; Schizosaccharomycetales; Schizosaccharomycetaceae.
UUUUUUUAUCAACGUACUCAGCGCGAUAUCCUCCAGUACCAUACUGCAUGGGAUAAGAAUGCACUUUGGCAAACUUAUCGGAUUCUCGAACAAUUGCCGUUACAAAUUCAUUUACAAUCGAAUCGCUGUCUUCAGCAUCAGACAUAGUGGGGAAAAUAUCGAUACAGAAGUCUGACGAUCCUUUGUAAAAAAAACUUGUUAAAGUAUCGAAACUAUGAAUGGAAGAAGAACGAAGUCACUUAAGCCUAAGCUUCGAGAAAACAGGUUGACCUCAAAGCUCUCUUAAUAAAAAAGUACACUUAAGAAGUUAAGAGAUAUGACUUUGUGUUCUCAAGAUAUAUUCGAGUCCCGAAUAAGCACUGGAUUGCUACUAAGUUGAUGCCAAACGCGUCAACUAUCACCAAACUAUGGCAAUUUAAAUAUCGCGGAAUAAUGAACUGCGUAAUACAUAUUCGUUAUUAGAAGGAAAUUUGGGAAUAGUUUAACGUCUACGAAGUUAAUAAAAGCUUCACAUAUUUCCUCUUUCUUUAUUACAUAAAUAUUUAUCAAUUUGGUUUUCAUCGCUUGGGUUAUGUUCGAAGUUGCUAAAUAAACAACUUAGUUGGUUGACUCAAUAGUUAACUCUGUAAAUUAGCUACAAAAUAGCAGAAAGACACCUCAACGUUUUUUACAAUUAUUAUGAAAAGCUAUGAAAUUUAAUGUGAAUAAACUAGAUGAAAAGAAACGACUAAAUGAACCAACGAAAAGGUAUUAAAAAAUAGUAUUUCGUAUUAGAUUUAAUUGAUUAACACAAUGUGGUCAGUAAUAUACAGAGAAUGUAUGCAUGUUUGCUUUAAACAAUAGAACAAACGGAUUGUAAUAAUUGAGAGGACAAGAUCGAAAAUGAACGACCUGAAAAUCGUUCAUCACUAGGGAAU